UUGUGUCGCCAUCUUGUCGCACGUGGUGAGUUAGCCGCGUGAGGAAAGUCCGGACACCAUAGGGCAGCACAGCGGGUAACGCCCGCCCAGUUGAUUAUAAACUGAGGACAAGUGCAACAGAAAGCAAGUACAGUACGGCUGUAGUGAAAUCAGGUAAACUCUGUGCGGUGAAAUGCUAUGUAUAUCGGCUGAAAAGGGUUGCCCGCCCGAUGCCGAGGGGUGAGCAGAUAGAAAUUUGCAGCAAUGUGAAUUCCAGAUAAAUGACAAGACGUUUUAAGCAAUUAAGACUGACAGAAUCCGGCUUAUCGGCAUUUUUUUAAU
Molecule: RNase P RNA, 321 nt
Filed under: Candidatus Ornithobacterium hominis
Lineage: Bacteria; Pseudomonadati; Bacteroidota; Flavobacteriia; Flavobacteriales; Weeksellaceae
Description: Bacterial RNase P class A
Rfam family: Bacterial RNase P class A
About the family: Ribonuclease P (RNase P) is a ubiquitous endoribonuclease, found in archaea, bacteria and eukarya as well as chloroplasts and mitochondria.
Source: Rfam by way of RNAcentral